Molecule: long non-coding RNA, 437 nt
Organism: Columba livia (rock pigeon)
Lineage: Eukaryota; Metazoa; Chordata; Aves; Columbiformes; Columbidae
Exons: 3
Source: RefSeq, a predicted model, not a curated record
CAUGGAGAGAUGAAGAGAGCAUAGUCUGGCUACCAGCCUCUGAGGCACUUUCACCUGGCCACUGUUUUGUAUUUGGGCAAGAGAGCACCUUUGGUUGUUGUUUGGAACGCUUGGGUUCGACACAGAGGCUGUGUGUGUUUGGCUGGAGACUGCAGGCAGCAGGAGCUCAUAUGGGCUUGCUCAAAUGCCCUAGGAUUAAGAAGAACUGUGAAACGAUAACGUGCAAAUGAGAUAAAGAACUGAACUGAAGGUUGGACAUAGCUGUUUUUAAGGAUGUGAGACAGAGGCCUGCUGAACAUCUUAUCUUAAAACUCCAGAAUACCUCUCCAGUGGCAGAUUAGCAGUGGUGACACAAAGCAAAUAAGCAGAGCUGACACGUGCAUGUGAUAAUCAUUCUCCGUCUACUGGCAAUGUCUGCAGACAUUUACCUCUCCUCU